AAUUCUCAAUCUUUAAUACUUUUGUAUUGAAGGCUUGGACUUGGAGGUUUGUGCUGGCUCUCUUGCUUGGUCGGCUCCUCUAAAAUGCAUUAGCGUGAAUAUUAUGGAUCGCUUUGGUGUGAUAAUUAUCUGCGCCGUAGUCGUGAAGUAUAUUUAUUUAUGUUUGCGCUUCUAAUCGUCCUGCAUUGGACAACUACUUUGAC
This 203-nucleotide unclassified non-coding RNA is filed under the name uncultured Rhizochaete. RNAcentral's name for it is "sequence contains ITS2". The record is from RNAcentral. Lineage: Eukaryota; Fungi; Basidiomycota; Agaricomycetes; Corticiales; Corticiaceae.